AUUGAACGCUGGCGGCAGGCCUAACACAUGCAAGUCGAACGAGUGGCGGACGGGUGAGUAAUGUCUGGGAAACUGCCUGAUGGAGGGGGAUAACUACUGGAAACGGUAGCUAAUACCGCAUACCAUCAGAUGUGCCCAGAUGGGAUUAGCUAGUAGGGGGGGUAAAGGCUCACAAAGGCGACGAUCACUAGCUGGUCUGCGAGGAGGACCAGCCACACUGGAACUGAGAAACGUUCCAGACUCCUACGGGAGGCAGCAGUGGGGAAUAUUGCACAAUGGGCGCAAGCCUGAUGCAGCCAUGCCGCGUGUAUGAAGAAGGCCUGCGGGUUGUAAAGUACUUUCAGCGGGGAGGCGGUACCCGCAGAAGAAGCACCGGCUAACUCCGUGCCAGCAGCCGCGGUAAUUC
Molecule: ribosomal RNA, 406 nt
Filed under: uncultured bacterium
Lineage: Bacteria
Description: partial 16S ribosomal RNA
Rfam family: Bacterial small subunit ribosomal RNA
Source: RNAcentral